Molecule: ribosomal RNA, 478 nt
Filed under: uncultured bacterium
Lineage: Bacteria
Description: partial 16S ribosomal RNA
Rfam family: Bacterial small subunit ribosomal RNA
Source: RNAcentral
GACGAACGCUGGCGGCGUGCUUAACACAUGCAAGUCGAACGGUAAGGCCCUUCGGGGUACACGAGUGGCGAACGGGUGAGUAACACGUGGGUGAUCUGCCCUGCACUUCGGGAUAAGCCUGGGAAACUGGGUCUAAUACCGGAUAGGACCACUGCCUGCAUGGGUGGUGGUGGAAAGCUUUUGCGGUGUGGGAUGGGCCCGCGGCCUAUCAGCUUGUUGGUGGGGUGAUGGCCUACCAAGGCGACGACGGGUAGCCGGCCUGAGAGGGUGACCGGCCACACUGGGACUGAGAUACGGCCCAGACUCCUAGGGGAGGCAGCAGUGGGGAAUAUUGCACAAUGGGCGCAAGCCUGAUGCAGCGACGCCGCGUGAGGGAUGACGGCCUUCGGGUUGUAAACCUCUUUCAGCACCGACGAAGCGCAAGUGACAGUAGGUGCAGAAGAGGGACCGGCCAACUACGUGCCAGCAGCCGCAGUAA